Plutella xylostella (diamondback moth) is the source of this 209-nucleotide non-coding RNA. NCBI's taxonomy places the organism in Eukaryota, Metazoa, Arthropoda, Insecta, Lepidoptera, Plutellidae. The record is from RefSeq and is a predicted model, not a curated record.
AAUUAUUAUGUUUGUGUUUGCAAUAUGCAAUUGUUAAAUCGAUAAGUGACAACAACAAAGAAAAUGAAAAAUCAACCACACCCAUAAACUAAACAUGAAACGCUGGAUACAAGAUAUUAAAUCCUCUCUGGGACAACAAUACUAAAACUACCAUCAGACCACCUAGUUACCUACCUACUAACUAGAAGGAUAAUGGAAAUAAGAUACAG